UGGGGAAUAUUGCACAAUGGGGGAAAGCCCUGAUGCAGCAACGCCGCGUGAAGGAAGACGGUUUUCGGAUUGAUAAACUUCUUUUCUUAGUGAAGAAGCAAGUGACGGUAGCUAAGGAAUAAGCAUCGGCUAACUACGUGCCAGCAGCCGCGGUAAUACGUAGGAUGCGAGCGUUAUCCGGAAUUACUGGGUGUAAAGGGAGCGCAGGCGGGACUGCAAGUUGGAUGUGAAAUACCGCAGCUUAACUGCGGAGCUGCAUCCAAAACUGUAGUUCUUGAGUGGAGUAGAGGCAAGCGGAAUUCCGAGUGUAGCGGUGAAAUGCGUAGAUAUUCGGAGGAACACCAGUGGCGAAGGCGGCUUGCUGGGCUCUAACUGACGCUGAGGCUCGAAAGUGUGGGGAGCAAACAGGAUUAGAUACC
This 419-nucleotide ribosomal RNA is filed under the name uncultured bacterium. RNAcentral describes it as "bacterial SSU rRNA". It matches the Rfam family "Bacterial small subunit ribosomal RNA", at positions 355 to 786 of the family's 1533-position model. The record is from RNAcentral.